AGUGAACGCUGGCGGUAGGCCUAACACAUGCAAGUCGAACGGCAGCACAGUAAGAGCUUGCUCUUACGGGUGGCGAGUGGCGGACGGGUGAGGAAUACAUCGGAAUCUACUUUUUCGUGGGGGAUAACGUAGGGAAACUUACGCUAAUACCGCAUACGACCUACGGGUGAAAGCAGGGGAUCUUCGGACCUUGCGCGAUUGAAUGAGCCGAUGUCGGAUUAGCUAGUUGGCGGGGUAAAGGCCCACCAAGGCGACGAUCCGUAGCUGGUCUGAGAGGAUGGUCAGCCACACUGGAGCUGAGACACGGUCCAGGCUCCUACGGGAGGCAGCAGUGGGGAAUAUUGGACAAUGGGCGCAAGCCUGAUCCAGCCAUACCGCGUGGGUGAAGGAGGCCUUCGGGUUGUAAAGCCCUUUUGUUGGGAAAGAAAAGCAGCAGGUUAAUACCCCGCUGUUCUGACGGUACCCAAAGAAUAAGCACCGGCUAACUUCGUG
This 492-nucleotide ribosomal RNA is filed under the name uncultured bacterium. RNAcentral describes it as "partial 16S ribosomal RNA". It matches the Rfam family "Bacterial small subunit ribosomal RNA", at positions 29 to 507 of the family's 1533-position model. The record is from RNAcentral.